This 253-nucleotide ribosomal RNA is filed under the name uncultured bacterium. RNAcentral's name for it is "partial 16S ribosomal RNA". It matches the Rfam family "Bacterial small subunit ribosomal RNA", at positions 524 to 776 of the family's 1533-position model. The record is from RNAcentral.
GACAGAGGGGGCAAGCGUUGCUCGGAAUCACUGGGCGUAAAGGGUGCGUAGGCGGCGCGGUAAGUCGGGUGUGAAAUCUCGGAGCUUAACUCCGAAACUGCAUUCGAUACUGCCGUGCUUGAGGACUGGAGAGGAGACUGGAAUUUACGGUGUAGCGGUGAAAUGCGUAGAUAUCGUAAGGAAGACCAGUGGCGAAGGCGGGUCUCUGGACAGUUCCUGACGCUGAGGCACGAAGGUCAGGGGAGCAAACGGG